AAACUAAGGAAAUUGCAUGAUCUAGCAAUAUCACCAUGCAUUUGGGUAGCUAGAAUUAGGUCUCUCUAUUUCUUAAUGCAAUUGACAGUUGUUAGAUGCCAAAGGUCCAAGGACAUUCCUUGGCAACUUGUUGAUUAGUGAUUAGUUAGAGGACGUUCCCUAAUUAAUUUAUGCUUAAGGAGGGAUAUGGUGGUGAGAA
Molecule: long non-coding RNA, 199 nt
Filed under: Manihot esculenta (cassava)
Lineage: Eukaryota; Viridiplantae; Streptophyta; Magnoliopsida; Malpighiales; Euphorbiaceae
Description: long non-coding RNA (MESC_LNC000970)
Source: RNAcentral